RNAcentral lists this ribosomal RNA (221 nucleotides) under uncultured Thermus sp. RNAcentral describes it as "partial 16S ribosomal RNA". It matches the Rfam family "Bacterial small subunit ribosomal RNA", at positions 1163 to 1382 of the family's 1533-position model. The record is from RNAcentral. Lineage: Bacteria; Thermotogati; Deinococcota; Deinococci; Thermales; Thermaceae.
CGGGAGGAAGGAGGGGACGACGUCUGGUCAGCAUGGCCCUUACGGCCUGGGCGACACACGUGCUACAAUGCCCACUACAAAGCGAGGCCACCCGGCAACGGGGAGCUAAUCGCAAAAAGGUGGGCCCAGUUCGGAUUGGGGUCUGCAACCCGACCCCAUGAAGCCGGAAUCGCUAGUAAUCGCGGAUCAGCCAUGCCGCGGUGAAUACGUUCCCGGGCCUU